RNAcentral lists this long non-coding RNA (265 nucleotides) under Lathyrus oleraceus (garden pea). RNAcentral describes it as "Pisum sativum (pea) long non-coding RNA (PSAT_LNC025866)". The record is from RNAcentral. Lineage: Eukaryota; Viridiplantae; Streptophyta; Magnoliopsida; Fabales; Fabaceae.
GGAACUACGUCGCCCUGAUUCUCAUAUCAGAUGAGAUACGUAGGCAGGAGGUUGUGAGAAAUCUCUCCGGGCACCCUUUUUCUUUUCACCCUUUUGUUUUUUUGUGUGUGUUCACCCUUUUGUUUUGUGUGUGUUCACCCUUUUUCUUUGUUUUGUGUUCGCUUACCCUUAUUCUCGACUUAGGGAUAUUGUUUGCAUGACAACUUUUAGGCUCGAGUCUUAGUCUCCCUAUUAGUUUGUUGUUUCCCUGGUCUCUGGUUAGGAG